GGAGAAUUCGCCUAGUGGCCUAUGGCGCACGCUUGGAAAGCGUGUUGGGUGCAAGCCCUCGGGGGUUCGAAUCCCCCAUUCUCCGCCCAGA
This 91-nucleotide transfer RNA is filed under the name Leifsonia xyli subsp. xyli str. CTCB07. RNAcentral describes it as "tRNA-Ser". It matches the Rfam family "tRNA". From Rfam's summary of the family: Transfer RNA (tRNA) molecules are approximately 80 nucleotides in length. Their secondary structure includes four short double-helical elements and three loops (D, anti-codon, and T loops). Lineage: Bacteria; Bacillati; Actinomycetota; Actinomycetes; Micrococcales; Microbacteriaceae. The record is from RNAcentral.